Molecule: ribosomal RNA, 255 nt
Filed under: uncultured bacterium
Lineage: Bacteria
Description: partial 16S ribosomal RNA
Rfam family: Bacterial small subunit ribosomal RNA
Source: RNAcentral
UACGGGGGGGGGCGAGCGUUUGUUCGGAAUUACUGGGCGUAAAGGGUUUGUAGGUGGUCUGCUAAGUCAGACGUGAAAUCCCUCAGCUUAACUGGGGAACUGCGUCUGAUACUGGCGGACUUGAGGACAGGAGAGGAACGCGGAAUUCCAGGUGUAGCGGUGAAAUGCGUAGAUAUCUGGAGGAACACCGGUGGCGAAGGCGGCGUUCUGGACUGUUUCUGACACUGAAAAACGAAAGCCAGGGGAGCAAACGGG